UCAAAGGUGUCAGAGUUAAUGGGUUUGUUUUAGAUACAAAAUAUAGGAGUGUUUCUCCUCCUUUGAU
Molecule: transfer RNA, 67 nt
Filed under: Megalobenedenia derzhavini
Lineage: Eukaryota; Metazoa; Platyhelminthes; Monogenea; Capsalidea; Capsalidae
Description: tRNA-Leu
Source: RNAcentral